AGGACGAGGUUGUGGAUGCUGAUAUUGCUGAGUUGGCCUUCUCUGCUGUUGUUGAGGUUGAGUUGCUGGAAUAGUCACACCAACAGCCUGACGACACUGUCCUCUGUUCGCGCUCCUCCGUCGGUGCACAGCAUUUGUUUCACUCUCUCCCCUUUUGGGUGCCCCAGAGUAUGUCUUCUUAGAACCGGAAGAACUUGAAGAGCC
RNAcentral lists this long non-coding RNA (204 nucleotides) under Lathyrus oleraceus (garden pea). Its description in RNAcentral is "Pisum sativum (pea) long non-coding RNA (PSAT_LNC000808)". Lineage: Eukaryota; Viridiplantae; Streptophyta; Magnoliopsida; Fabales; Fabaceae. The record is from RNAcentral.